Non-coding RNA from Phalacrocorax carbo (great cormorant), 1509 nucleotides. NCBI's taxonomy places the organism in Eukaryota, Metazoa, Chordata, Aves, Suliformes, Phalacrocoracidae. The record is from RefSeq and is a predicted model, not a curated record.
CUUCAGCGUUAUUUACUGCUAUCAUUACUGGGCUUAAACAGAGAGUGACGGGUGCUGGCUACUCUGUGCAUAUGUGUAAGAUAAUCGUUAAGAAAAUACAGUCUGAGAAUAGGCACAAUAAGUAAAACAGUAGAAAGGUCGUGGAUCUGGAGGGUCAGGAUUCCACAGGGAAGCCUGCGGUGCUCUCGGGGAUUCCGUGAACCCAUGCCACUGGAAACCCUGGGUCAUUGACUGUGUUUUCUGAAGGCCUUUCAGAGGUCCCCGAUGGCGAGGCGAUUUUACCAAAGGCUCCAGAAGAAGGUCCCGAAGAUGCAGUUGUGGCGACCCACCCGUGACCGCUGCCGCUGCCCCCCUCCCGAGCCCCCCCCCCGGGUGGCACCUGGGCAGCCCGAAGCCGCCGAUCAGGAGGCACCCUUCUUCGAGCGAGGAGAUAAAAAUCUUGGCAAAAAGAGCACUUAAGGAUGUGAACCCUGCGGAAAAUUCCACUUCCUUCACAGCACCGCCUGUCCUUGGGUCCCUCGCUCGUUCCCAGGCACCCAACGAGGGGUGUCUGCCCCAGGUUCCCACACCAACUUCCUAAACAAACGCCGUGCCGCAGAGCCCCCCAGCUCGCUGCUUCUGCAGCUCAGCGCGCUCUCCCUCCUCUCUUCCUACUUCCCUCCAUUUUAUUUCUCCGCUGGUUUUUCUCUUCAAGCAGACUCCCAACUCUCUCUCCUGCUGAACUUGCCGGGAACAAAAGGCUCCGUUCCAGAUCCAGCCCGCAGUUGCCGUGAGAAACUUCCUCGGCAGCGCCGCUGCCGCUCCACUCUCCUCCCUCCCUCCUCGGGAAAAUGGCAGUGCAAGAGCUUCAUGAAAAAGGUGAAAAAACCUCCUUUCUCGGCGCCUGCCUCUCCCGCAGCAACCUCCCCCCCACCCCAGUCGUGACGCCUGAACUCAAACUUCUCUAAAAAUACACUUUAGAAGGACAGAAUUUCACGGGAGUGAAUAUUUCAUAUAUAUAUAUAUGUAUAAUUUUUUUUCACACUCCACUGAAAAGAGCAGCUGAGGGUGGGAGAAACCCGGCGGACCCACCUCCCGCAUGGCAUCGCCGCUUCCCAACUACUUGAAACAGAAUAAUACUUCUGCUUGACUGGGAAAAUCCAGGCCCAGAGUUGAGGUCUUUCUCUUUUCGCAGCUUUAAAAACCUCUUGUUUUGUUUUGUCUUGUUUUUUAACUCUUCCAAGCGAGGUUUGCAAUGUAACCCGCUUGCUCUGCGAGCCCACCCGACAGGUCCCGAAUCUGGUGGGAUUCAGUAGGAAAUGAGCCGGUUGGCUCCUGAUCCAGUGCAGGGGGGGUUUAGAAACUCCGGUCCGUGUUUUGUUUGAAUUUUUUUUUUUGGCCUUUUUUUUUUUUUGUAAGUAGAUUUACUCUUCCUUCUCCGACGCUCAGCACCCCAGCGCUCGUGUCCGGGGGCGGCUGGGCCGCCCGGGGAGCGCACCCGCGUGUAUAAAAUAAACGCGGUUUACUCUU